GUGCCAGCAGCCGCGGUAAGACAGAGGGUGCAAACGUUGUUCGGAUUUACUGGGCGUAAAGCGCGUGUAGGCGGCAGCGUGUGUCGGGCGUGAAAUCCCACGGCUCAACCGUGGAAGUGCACCCGAAACUGCGCAGCUAGAGUCCUGGAGAGGAAGGUGGAAUACUUGGUGUAGAGGUGAAAUUCGUAGAUAUCGAGAGGAACACCGGUGGCGAAGGCGGCUUUCUGGACACUUACUGACACUGAGACGCGAAAGCGUGGGGAGCAAACAGGAUUAGAAACCCGCGUAGUCC
Molecule: ribosomal RNA, 292 nt
Filed under: uncultured bacterium
Lineage: Bacteria
Description: partial 16S ribosomal RNA
Rfam family: Bacterial small subunit ribosomal RNA
Source: RNAcentral